CCUACGGGCGGCAGCAGUAGGGAAUUUUGCGCAAUGGGGGAAACCCUGACGCAGCAACGCCGCGUGAUCGAUGAAGCCCUUCGGGGUGUAAAGAUCUGUCAGUGGGGACGAAACCUGACGGUACCCACAGAGGAAGCACCGGCUAACUCCGUGCCAGCAGCCGCGGUAAUACGGGGGGUGCAAGCGUUGUCCGGAAUCAUUGGGCGUAAAGAGUUCGUAGGUGGCACGUUAAGUCUGGUGUUAAAGGCGGAAGCUCAACUUCCGUAGGGCACUGGAUACUGGCGAGCUUGAAUGCGGUAGAGGUAAAGGGAAUUCCUGGUGUAGCGGUGAAAUGCGUAGAUAUCAGGAGGAACAUCAGUGGCGAAGGCGACUAUCUGGCACAUAACUGACGCUGAGGAGCGAAAGCGUGGGUAGCAAACAGGAUUAGAUACCCCUGUAGUC
This 441-nucleotide ribosomal RNA is filed under the name uncultured bacterium. RNAcentral's name for it is "partial 16S ribosomal RNA". It matches the Rfam family "Bacterial small subunit ribosomal RNA", at positions 338 to 795 of the family's 1533-position model. The record is from RNAcentral.